This 465-nucleotide ribosomal RNA is filed under the name uncultured bacterium. Its description in RNAcentral is "partial 16S ribosomal RNA". It matches the Rfam family "Bacterial small subunit ribosomal RNA", at positions 338 to 795 of the family's 1533-position model. The record is from RNAcentral.
CCUACGGGUGGCAGCAGUGGGGAAUAUUGCGCAAUGGGCGAAAGCCUGACGCAGCGACGCCGCGUGAGGGAUGAAGGUCUUCGGAUCGUAAACCUCUGUCAGCAGGGAAGAACGGUCACUGUGCUAAUCAGCAGUGAAUUGACGGUACCUGCAAAGGACGCACCGGCUAACUCCGUGCCAGCCGCCGCGGUAAUACGGAGGGUGCGAGCGUUAAUCGGAAUUACUGGGCGUAAAGCGCUCGUAGGCGGGAUGUCAAGUCAAGGGUGAAAUCCCCGCGCUCAACGUGGGAACUGCCUUUGAAACUGGCAAACUGGAGUGUGUGAGAGGAUAGUGGAAUUCCAGGUGUAGGAGUGAAAUCCGUAGAUAUCUGGAGGAACAUCAGUGGCGAAGGCGACUAUCUGGCACAUAACUGACGCUGAGGAGCGAAAGCGUGGGUAGCAAACAGGAUUAGAUACCCCAGUAGUC